This is a non-coding RNA of Musca domestica (house fly), 47 nucleotides long. The record is from Rfam. Lineage: Eukaryota; Metazoa; Arthropoda; Insecta; Diptera; Muscidae.
AUAUAGGUGUUAUUAGACACCACAACAAUUUUGACAGAACUUUAUUU